Molecule: ribosomal RNA, 468 nt
Filed under: uncultured bacterium
Lineage: Bacteria
Description: partial 16S ribosomal RNA
Rfam family: Bacterial small subunit ribosomal RNA
Source: RNAcentral
GACGAACGCUGGCGGCGUGCUUAACACAUGCAAGUCGAACGGAAAGGCCCUGCUUUUGUGGGGUGCUCGAGUGGCGAACGGGUGAGUAACACGUGAGUAGCCUGCCCUUGACUUUGGGAUAACUUCAGGAAACUGGGGCUAAUACCGGAUAGGAGCUCCUGCUGCAUGGUGGGGGUUGGAAAGUUUCGGCGGUUGGGGAUGGACUCGCGGCUUAUCAGCUUGUUGGUGGGGUAGUGGCUUACCAAGGCUUUGACGGGUAGCCGGCCUGAGAGGGUGACCGGCCACAUUGGGACUGAGGUACGGCCCAGACUCCUACGGGAGGCAGCAGUGGGGAAUAUUGCACAAUGGGCGGAAGCCUGAUGCAGCAACGCCGCGUGCGGGAUGACGGCCUUCGGGUUGUAAACCGCUUUCGCCUGUGACGAAGCGUGAGUGACGGUAAUGGGUAAAGAAGCACCGGCUAACUACGUG